CGGGACGGGUGAGUAAUGUCUGGGAAAUUGCCUGAUGGAGGGGGAUAACUACUGGAAACGGUAGCUAAUACCGCAUAACGUCGCAAGACCAAAGAGGGGGACCUUAGGGCCUCUUGCCAUCGGAUGUGCCCAGAUGGGAUUAGCUAGUAGGUGGGGUAACGGCUCACCUAGGCGACGAUCCCUAGCUGGUCUGAGAGGAUGACCAGCCACACUGGAACUGAGACACGGUCCAG
This 233-nucleotide ribosomal RNA is filed under the name uncultured bacterium. RNAcentral describes it as "partial 16S ribosomal RNA". It matches the Rfam family "Bacterial small subunit ribosomal RNA", at positions 100 to 334 of the family's 1533-position model. The record is from RNAcentral.